Molecule: ribosomal RNA, 429 nt
Filed under: uncultured bacterium
Lineage: Bacteria
Description: bacterial SSU rRNA
Rfam family: Bacterial small subunit ribosomal RNA
Source: RNAcentral
ACGAACGCUGGCGGCAGGCUUAACACAUGCAAGUCGAACGCCCCGCAAGGGGAGUGGCAGACGGGUGAGUAACACGUGGGAACGUGCCCUAUGGUUUGGAAUAUUCCCGGGAAACUGGGAGCAAUACCAAAUGUGUCCGUAAGGAGAAAGAUUUAUCGCCUUAGGAUCGGCCCGCGUCAGAUUAGCUAGUUGGUGGGGUAAAAGCCUACCAAGGCGACGAUCUGUAGCUGGUCUGAGAGGACGACCAGCCACACUGGGACUGAGACACGGCCCAGCCUCCUACGGGAGGCAGCAGUGGGGAAUCUUGGACAAUGGGCGCAAGCCUGAUCCAGCCAUGCCGCGUGGAUGAUGAGGGCCCUAGGGUUGUAAAAUCCUUUCGUUGGGGACGAUAAUGACGGUACCCAAAGAAGAAGCUCCGGCUAACUUCGU